GGAGCAUAUUGCACAUCUCACUUUUGCUGUACUGCUUUCAGAACCUGGCUGCCGGUGUAAAGCAGAUAGCUGCAUUCUUUGGAUUCUCACCAACAGCUGAGCAGAUCCAGGCCAUUGCAGGAAGGCACACUUUUCAGCCAACAGCUAUUGGAACAACUUCUGCAGAUGUGGUGAAACCUUAUGGAGGCUGCGCUUCUGUGCACCUCGAUCCCUGCAAAACCAGGUCCCACUGCACCCCAUAUCUGCCCUGCUGCCUCCUGAAGCAGUUCCUGGCAUAAUGUCUUGGGUACAGGAGCUACUGAGAUGCUACAGCAGUUUUAUGGUGACCUUAGAGAGACAAAAGGAGCUUGAAAAGAAGCACACUGAAUGUUUGCUGAGUGGUUUGCACAUAGACAUGAACAGGCUAGCCAGGUUCCAUUCUGGGAGUCAUGAUUUCUGCAGUUCUGAGGACCCACGUCAGCAAGGGCCAGCCUCUCUGAGCGACACUGAUGCUCAGCAGUGUAACCCAGAGGAAAGCAGAGUCCCACAGCAUGGAUGCAAUAGGUAUGGAGGAAUCAAACCUGUGUCUCCCAAGGCGGAACAAAAGUGCCAAGUUGUGGACUCCUGUGAUAAAAAGAGGCUACUCUCCUGUUGAAACUACUUCACAGUCAAAAUUAGUUGGGCAAGACAGAGACUGUGACUGACUGGGCCACCAUACAUGCUCUUGGGAGAUGGGAGCUGAGGGGCUACACUUGAGAAGGAGGGAAGGAGCUUACUGGUCCCUUGCUGGCUGCAGUGGCACAUUCAUUAAUCACUGAACCCUGCAUUGUGCUGUAUUUUGAGUGGAACUUGCUGCUGCCGUGCCUUAUAUGGACAGUAAUCCUAUGGCUGCAUGUCAGGCAGGCAUGUGAGACCAGAGGUCCUCAGGGAGGCUGGGAAAUGUCCAUCUGCUGAUUCUGUCAUGGGAGAAUGAAAAUAUAUGGACAUAUAGGUGUGAAAACAACAUGAUUCUCAGGUCAAGUGGAAAUUUCUGCUCGCAGAGUAAUAUUCAUAUGGGCAGACUCCUUUGCCGGUCUUACACUUCCUGGAUAUGAGAGCAGUGUCUCAUCUCCAUCAUUUCCAUGUAUCACAGGAACAGGACUGCUGGGAAAUAAAUGUAAAGAAAGGAGGCUGGAGAAAUUUGAA
This 1164-nucleotide long non-coding RNA is filed under the name Parus major (Great Tit). RNAcentral describes it as "lncRNA (ENSPMJG00000015115.1)". The record is from RNAcentral. Lineage: Eukaryota; Metazoa; Chordata; Aves; Passeriformes; Paridae.